CAACAAUAAACGACGCGGGGUAUCAGAACGAACGAUCAGGAUGGAGGCUUCUACGAUUGCUCUGCAAGAUGCACCGGUGAGUCUCUAUCUCUCUUUCUGAUAAGGUUAGUCGCAUUCCGAUCGUCGGAACGUUAAAGUCGACUUCGUGUCCGCAAUAUUAAUACUGCGCCGCUUGAAUUCAGCAUUUGCACGAUGAUCGGCCGAAGGACUUGUCGGCGCGUGGAAGAGAUUUUACAUUAAUUUUCACAAGGAAAUUAGGAUAUUAAUCUGUGAUAAUGUGUUAAAAGCAUUUCAUGUAGAGAAAAAUUGAUAUAUACCUAUAUUAAAUUAUUACUUAA
RNAcentral lists this small RNA (338 nucleotides) under Atta cephalotes. Its description in RNAcentral is "sRNA LOC105620225". Lineage: Eukaryota; Metazoa; Arthropoda; Insecta; Hymenoptera; Formicidae. The record is from RNAcentral.